Non-coding RNA from Leopardus geoffroyi (Geoffroy's cat), 1335 nucleotides. The record is from the annotation of a RefSeq genome assembly. NCBI's taxonomy places the organism in Eukaryota, Metazoa, Chordata, Mammalia, Carnivora, Felidae.
UGGAGGGAUGUGGUGACUGUUGACAACACAACUUCUCUGACCCAAGACUCUACACUCUUCAGAGUAGGGGUGAAGGCACGUCAGCGACCAGACAAGGAGUCAUGAAGAGACAGCGGGGAGCCCUGCUGGGGCUUCUGUGGGUGCAGGUUUGCUGGGUGAGAGGGAUGGACGUGGAGCAGACACCUGCAGCCCUGAGCCUCCAGGAGGGAGCCAGCUCUACCCUGAGGUGCAAUUUUUCCAGCUCGGUGAACAACGUGCAGUGGUUCCGACAGAACCCCGGGGGCGGCGGCCUCACCCGGCUGUUUUACAUAGUUUCAGGGAUGAAGCAGGAUGGGAGGUUGAACUGCACGGUGAACACUAAGGACCGGCACAGCAGCCUGCACAUCAGGGCCUCCCAGCAGGAAGACUCAGCCACCUAUCUGUGUGCGGUGCAGGCACAGUGCUCCCUGCUGCUCUGCAGCCUGUCCCCAAACUGCAGCUGGGCUCCCAGCCCAGGCUCCUCCACCAGGAAGCCUUCCUUGUGCAGCCGCAUUUGCACAGGGUGCUUGGGACCAUCUGGGGCUUUGCAGGCUCAAAGCUGGUGGUGGUAAACCUUGCCAAUAAAUUAUUUAAAAAUGAAAGUGUGUAUGUGCACAUUGCAUAAAGCAUAUUGGAGGGAUGUUAGUUCUUAAAAUGUUUAGAAUCUCUGAUUUUGGAAAUUGUUGCCACAUGGGAAAGCAAAGAUCCGUAGGUUUUGAAAUAGAAAUUUAAGAUAAAGAUAAGAGUUUCAAUGGAGAAGAAUAACAUUUUCAUGUGAAGUUUUAACUGAUUCAAUAUCUGAUUAUUAACACAGAAGAUAAUCUGAAAUUAAAAUUUCUCAUAACUUAAGACAUGGUAAGAUAUAUAGACCAGCAUUCUGAAAGCUAAUGUGUUAGACAUAAAAAUAUAACAUAAGACUAUUGGGAUUGAGAUGACCCAGACAGGGUUAGAACAUUUUGUUGAAUGAUUGCUGUUUAUUGGAUUUUUGAAAGGAGUUAGUAAUAUUUUAUUUUGAAAUUCAGGUUUUAAAGCUGACUUUACAUUUGCUGUUCAGACUCCUGUCAUACAAACAACUCCUUGGUAAAUUAUCACAUUCCUAUCAUAGAUUAGUUUUCAACUCUUGUCUUUCCAAUACUGCAGAUGUUAUUUUUGACUUGGUAUAAAACAGUGCAUGUUAAAUAUAGAAAAUAUGUAAUAACCAAAGUUUGAAAUUGAUAAUUGUGUACCCAGCCAAUUUAUUAUUGUUUGUUUUGCUCUCUUCUUAAAUUCUAAUAUAACUUGGAUUCUGAUUCUUUUCACUCAAUGUUAUAUCCUGAA